RNAcentral lists this ribosomal RNA (1426 nucleotides) under uncultured organism. Its description in RNAcentral is "SSU rRNA". It matches the Rfam family "Bacterial small subunit ribosomal RNA". The record is from RNAcentral.
CAGGCUUAACACAUGCAAGUCGAGGGGCAGCAUGGUCUUUGCUUGCUAAGACUGAUGGCGACCGGCGCACGGGUGAGUAACACGUAUCCAACCUGCCGUCUACUCUUGGACAGCCUUCUGAAAGGAAGAUUAAUACAAGAUGGCAUCAUGAGUCCGCAUGUUCACAUGAUUAAAGGUAUUCCGGUAGACGAUGGGGAUGCGUUCCAUUAGAUAGUAGGCGGGGUAACGGCCCACCUAGUCUUCGAUGGAUAGGGGUUCUGAGAGGAAGGUCCCCCACAUUGGAACUGAGACACGGUCCAAACUCCUACGGGAGGCAGCAGUGAGGAAUAUUGGUCAAUGGGCGAGAGCCUGAACCAGCCAAGUAGCGUGAAGGAUGACUGCCCUAUGGGUUGUAAACUUCUUUUAUAAAGGAAUAAAGUCGGGUAUGCAUACCCGUUUGCAUGUACUUUAUGAAUAAGGAUCGGCUAACUCCGUGCCAGCAGCCGCGGUAAUACGGAGGAUCCGAGCGUUAUCCGGAUUUAUUGGGUUUAAAGGGAGCGUAGAUGGAUGUUUAAGUCAGUUGUGAAAGUUUGCGGCUCAACCGUAAAAUUGCAGUUGAUACUGGAUAUCUUGAGUGCAGUUGAGGCAGGCGGAAUUCGUGGUGUAGCGGUGAAAUGCUUAGAUAUCACGAAGAACUCCGAUUGCGAAGGCAGCCUGCUAAGCUGCAACUGACAUUGAGGCUCGAAAGUGUGGGUAUCAAACAGGAUUAGAUACCCUGGUAGUCCACACGGUAAACGAUGAAUACUCGCUGUUUGCGAUAUACUGCAAGCGGCCAAGCGAAAGCGUUAAGUAUUCCACCUGGGGAGUACGCCGGCAACGGUGAAACUCAAAGGAAUUGACGGGGGGCCCGCACAAGCGGAGGAACAUGUGGUUUAAUUCGAUGAUACGCGAGGAACCUUACCCGGGCUUAAAUUGCAGAUGAAUUACGGUGAAAGCCGUAAGCCGCAAGGCAUCUGUGGAGGUGCUGCAUGGUUGUCGUCAGCUCGUGCCGUGAGGUGUCGGCUUAAGUGCCAUAACGAGCGCAACCCUUGUUGUCAGUUACUAACAGGUUCCGCUGAGGACUCUGACAAGACUGCCAUCGUAAGAUGUGAGGAAGGUGGGGAUGACGUCAAAUCAGCACGGCCCUUACGUCCGGGGCUACACACGUGUUACAAUGGGGGGUACAGAGGGCCGCUACCACGCGAGUGGAUGCCAAUCCCCAAAACCUCUCUCAGUUCGGACUGGAGUCUGCAACCCGACUCCACGAAGCUGGAUUCGCUAGUAAUCGCGCAUCAGCCACGGCGCGGUGAAUACGUUCCCGGGCCUUGUACACACCGCCCGUCAAGCCAUGGGAGCCGGGGGUACCUGAAGUGCGUAACCGCGAGGAGCGCCCUAGGGUAAAACUGGU